Molecule: unclassified non-coding RNA, 200 nt
Filed under: uncultured Tomentella
Lineage: Eukaryota; Fungi; Basidiomycota; Agaricomycetes; Thelephorales; Thelephoraceae
Description: sequence contains ITS1
Source: RNAcentral
CCGAAUUGUCAACAAGAGUUGUUGCUGGUCCCUGUAUGGGGGCAUGUGCACGCUCUGUUUACACAUCCACUCACACCUGUGCACCCUCUGUAGUUCUAUGGCCUGGGUGGGCUCUGCCCUCCCGCUGUGGUCCUACGUUUUUACACACACACUACAACAAAGUCUCAUGGAAUGUAUGUCGCGUUUAACGCAAUGAAAUA